Molecule: long non-coding RNA, 476 nt
Organism: Fopius arisanus
Lineage: Eukaryota; Metazoa; Arthropoda; Insecta; Hymenoptera; Braconidae
Exons: 3
Source: RefSeq, a predicted model, not a curated record
GCCAAUAAAAAAAAGACAGUUUCUGCAUCUUAAUCAAAGAUAUUGACGGUGGUCUUCGACCUACACAAUCUUUCAAUCACAAGAAAUAUAAUCUUCUUCAUAGACAAUUAUUAUUGCUGAGUAAUAAAUCACCUAAAUGAACUGUGUGCAAUGAAAUAAACGUUGUGCUAUUGGGAGAUAUAUUACGUGACUCAAAAUAAAUAAUAGCGUCAGCUGUUGAUUAAUUCUUUGUCGGUACCAGAGCUUUCCUCAAAAACGUUGAGAUUGAAUACUUGAUAAAACAACAGAUCGAACUGAUAUUGUAGCCCUAUCGCUUUUUGGCCGAGUACAUCAUCUUCGGGCAGUCAAUCCAACCUGUACAGAGGCCACUCUGCCCGGACUACUCACAACAAUCCAGAUCAAAUACCUAUAACAAAACCAGUGCCAAAAAACGAAACGAAACUGACCAAAAACCAUUUAUUACCUGAAAUAUUAUA